UCCAGACUCCUACGGGAGGCAGCAGUGGGGGAUAUUGCACAAUGGGGGGAACCCUGAUGCAGCGACGCCGCAUGGGUGAAGGAGCGUUUCGGCGCGUAAAGCCCUCUCGGCAGGGAAGAAGGAGGACGGUACCUGACUAAGAAGCCCCGGCUAACUACGUGCCAGCAGCCGCGGUAAUACGUAGGGGGCAAGCGUUAUCCGGAUUUACUGGGUGUAAAGGGGGCGCAGACGGCAGCGCAAGCCAGGAGUGAAAGCCCGGGGCCCAACCCCGGGACUGCUCUUGGAACUGCGCGGCUGGAGUGCAGGAGGGGCAGGCGGAAUUCCUGGUGUAGCGGUGAAAUGCGUAGAUAUCAGGAGGAACACCGGUGGCGAAGGCGGCCUGCUGGACUGCGACUGACGUUGAGGCCCGAAAGCGUGGGGAGCAAACAGGAUUAGAUACCCCCGUACU
RNAcentral lists this ribosomal RNA (448 nucleotides) under uncultured bacterium. RNAcentral's name for it is "bacterial SSU rRNA". It matches the Rfam family "Bacterial small subunit ribosomal RNA", at positions 330 to 794 of the family's 1533-position model. The record is from RNAcentral.